GAUGAAGAACGUAGCGAAGUGCGAUAAGUAAUGUGAAUUGCAGAAUUCCGUGAAUCAUCGAAUCUUUGAACGCAAAUUGCACUUUCUGGUAUCCCGGAGAGUAUGCCUGUUUGAGGGUCAGUGUAAUAAAUAAAUCGUGGUUGUUGCCACCUUUCGUGGUGACGCUUCGGAAUUGAGUCGUCUUGUCUUCGGUUAAGUGACUUAAAAUUUUUUCAUACGAUUUCGAAACGUAUUUAAUGUGUAUUAGUACGUUUUACGAAUAUCGAAUGUUUAUUAGGUGCGGUCAUUUUCAUGAAUUCGCGUCUAUAAUUUUUUUUUUUUUGACCUCAAAUCAGGUAAGAAUACCCGCUGAACUUAAGCAUAUCAAUAAGCGGAGGA
Molecule: unclassified non-coding RNA, 378 nt
Filed under: soil metagenome
Description: partial contains 5.8S ribosomal RNA, internal transcribed spacer 2, and large subunit ribosomal RNA
Rfam family: 5.8S ribosomal RNA (bases 1-120)
Source: RNAcentral